Molecule: non-coding RNA, 60 nt
Organism: Macaca mulatta (Rhesus monkey)
Lineage: Eukaryota; Metazoa; Chordata; Mammalia; Primates; Cercopithecidae
Source: Rfam
AGCCCAACAGGAUUCUUAGUAGGCUUUGGUGUUUUUAAGUGAUUGCCUUUUCUUUAUGCU